GAUGAACGCUGGCGGCGUGCCUAAUACAUGCAAGUCGAGCGAACAGACGAGGAGCUUGCUCCUUUGACGUUAGCGGCGGACGGGUGAGUAACACGUGGAUAACCUACCUAUAAGACUGGGAUAACUUCGGGAAACCGGAGCUAAUACCGGAUAACAUGUUGAACCGCAUGGUUCAACAGUGAAAGACGGUCUUGCUGUCACUUAUAGAUGGAUCCGCGCCGCAUUAGCUAGUUGGUAAGGUAACGGCUUACCAAGGCAACGAUGCGUAGCCGACCUGAGAGGGUGAUCGGCCACACUGGAACUGAGACACGGCCCAGAGUCCUACGGGAGGCAGCAGUAGGGAAUCUUCCGCAAUGGGCGAAAGCCUGACGGAGCAACGCCGCGUGAGUGAAGAAGGUCUUCGGAUCGUAAAACUCUGUUAGUAGGGAAGAACAAAUGUGUAAGUAACUAUGCACGUCUUGACGGUACCUAAUCAGAAAGCCACGGCUAACUACGUG
Molecule: ribosomal RNA, 497 nt
Filed under: uncultured bacterium
Lineage: Bacteria
Description: partial 16S ribosomal RNA
Rfam family: Bacterial small subunit ribosomal RNA
Source: RNAcentral